RNAcentral lists this ribosomal RNA (497 nucleotides) under uncultured bacterium. Its description in RNAcentral is "partial 16S ribosomal RNA". It matches the Rfam family "Bacterial small subunit ribosomal RNA", at positions 28 to 507 of the family's 1533-position model. The record is from RNAcentral.
GACGAACGCUGGCGGCGUGCCUAAUACAUGCAAGUUGAGCGCUGAAGGUUGGUACUUGUACCAACUGGAUGAGCAGCGAACGGGUGAGUAACGCGUGGGGAAUCUGCCUUUGAGCGGGGGACAACAUUUGGAAACGAAUGCUAAUACCGCAUAAAAACUUUAAACACAAGUUUUAAGUUUGAAAGAUGCAAUUGCAUCACUCAAAGAUGAUCCCGCGUUGUAUUAGCUAGUUGGUGAGGUAAAGGCUCACCAAGGCGAUGAUACAUAGCCGACCUGAGAGGGUGAUCGGCCACAUUGGGACUGAGACAAGGCCCAAACUCCUACGGGAGGCAGCAGUAGGGAAUCUUCGGCAAUGGACGAAAGUCUGACCGAGCAACGCCGCGUGAGUGAAGAAGGUUUUCGGAUCGUAAAACUCUGUUGGUAGAGAAGAACGUUGGUGAGAGUGGAAAGCUCAUCAAGUGACGGUAACUACCCAGAAAGGGACGGCUAACUACGUG